Molecule: ribosomal RNA, 119 nt
Filed under: Pteropus alecto (black flying fox)
Lineage: Eukaryota; Metazoa; Chordata; Mammalia; Chiroptera; Pteropodidae
Also listed under: 1 other name
Source: RNAcentral
GUCUAUGGCCAUGCCACCUUGAAUGUGCCCGAUCUUGUCGGAUCUCGGUAUCUAAGCAGGGUCAGGUCUGGUUAGUACUUGGAUGGGAGACCACCUACGAAGACCAGGUGUUGUAGGCA